RNAcentral lists this long non-coding RNA (17222 nucleotides) under Populus tremula. Its description in RNAcentral is "long non-coding RNA (PTRE_LNC001627)". Lineage: Eukaryota; Viridiplantae; Streptophyta; Magnoliopsida; Malpighiales; Salicaceae. The record is from RNAcentral.
CGUCCUGUUGUAAGCCAAGGUUUUGGAGCAACUAUUCGAGCCAUUAAUAGUAUAGAAUGCAAUGGUGGAAACGCAGGUGCUGUUCAGGCUCGUGUUAGAUAUUAUAGAGAUUAUUGCAGUCAACUCGGCGUUUCUACUGAGAAUAACCUCACUUGCUAGGUUUUUAAAUAACCUGAGUUGUUAUGCCAAGUUAUGGCUAAUCAUAUGAAAAUAAGAUGUACUGCUAUGAAACAAAUUGAAGAGAAAUAAAGUUUAUAAUUAUCGUUAUGUCUCGUAUAGUUUUUCAGUAAUUUUGAUGUCCCUUUUCAUAUUUGUUUUUAUUACUUGGAAAAACCUCCACUUUACUUCGCCAUAAAUUUGUGUUGAAAUUCAAUUUACGCCUUGUACGUAUUUUAUUUUCCAUCAAUUGAGUCCAUUAUAACCAAAAGAUUGUCCAUCCAACCCAAUAUAUUAGCAAUUUGAAAUUGAAAUCACUAUAUGUGUGCAUAUUCAUUUAAUUUAUUCUUCCAUUUCCAUAAUACAUUUUUCAAAUUUAUGUUAAUAUCCAUAGUAGGAUCUACUCUAAUUAAUUACUUCUCGAGUAAAACAAAAUUUCAUGAUUAUGACAUUUUUUCUUUUUAUGUUUUUGAAAAUGAAAGGUUGUGUUGCCUUGCCUAUUAUGUUUAUAAUACAUGUUCAGCUUACUUUUCAUCUUUCAAAUUUGGUUGAUGCAGAGUGUUUUUUAAAAUGAUUUUUAUUUAAAAAUAUAUUAAAAUUAUAUUUUAUUUUUCAUAUUAGUAUAUUCAAACAAUAAAAAAAACUUUUUCAAAAACAAAUUAAAAUUUAAAAAAUACAGUGCAACCGCACUUCUAAACAACACCGAAGUUAAAAAGAAACUAAGUUGUGGUUUUUUAGAUGUUAAGAGCCUAUUUGAGAACACGGUGUAAACCACAUUCUUUUAAAUUUAAAAAAAAUUGCUAAAAUUUAUUUUUUUAUGUCUUGAGAUUUUUUAAUGUGUUAAUGUUAAAAUAAUUUUAAAAAUUAAAAAAUAAAAAAUAUAUAUUUUUUAAAAAACAACUUUAGACUGCAACAACUAUUGAAAUUUUAAACAGUCCAUAAGAAAUUGAAUUGAAUUGUACAGGAUCUUUGCCAUGGAAUCACUAUUGGGAUUAUUUAGUGGUUCAAAAUCAUGUUGAGCUAGCCGACGUUGAAAAUCAUCAAUAUUAAUGGAGAGACUUUUCAAAGAAGUUGUCAAGUCCAUUUCUGACAUGAUAGCAAUUAUGGAUUGGGGUCCAUGUCCAUGUACCAACAUUGUAUAGAUCAUGAACCAAGUUUAAUGUCAAAGGAUCGAUUUGCCAGGAAAAAAAAAUUGAAAAAUGAAAAAUUAGGCAACUUGCUGUGAUUUCCUUUUGCUUCCCUAUUAUCGUAUUGUUCGGCGGUGCUAGGCCAUGUGCUUGGCUCACUUGACCGGCAGCACUAUAUGUUGACCAAAGCAAAUAUGAUCUUUUCCAAGAUAUACGAUAUGGCCGCAGUGUGGUCAAAUAUCUUGGUAGUGUUGAUUAAUGGAGAGCUAAAGCCACAGCCCACCCAUUUCUUAUCCACCUAGCCAGAUGAGGAAGAAACGAUGGCUCCUAUUUUACUUAUUUUUCAGCUGCAAGAGCUGAGUUGUAGUAAGGUGGAAUGAGUUGACAUGACAUGUGUUGGAAUGAGCUGUAUCUAUCCCAACUCGUUGCAUGUUUUGGUUAUAAAAUCUUUUUAAAAGUAUUUCUAAGUUUUUUUUUGUUAUAUAUUUUUAAUUUUUAUUAAUUUUUUAGUGUUUUAAAAUUAUUUUGAUGUAUCGAUAUUAUAAAAAAAAUUUAAAAAAUAAAAAUUUAUUAUUUUAAUGUAUUUUUAAAUAAAAUAUACUUUUAAAAACAAAAUUUAAAUUAGCAGUAAAAACACAACAUAAAUGUGACAAAACACAGUGAGCUAAACACCAAGAGAAAGAGUGUUUAUCCAACCUAGUUAAAUCUUAGGCGUCGAUUCUGGGCAUCCAUUUUAAUCCUGACCGUUAGCUACAAAAACUGGAAAAAGAAAGGAGCACUAGAAGACGGCUUCAGUUUUAUCUUUUUCUAUCCUUUCAUUUAUGGUACGUUGAAAGGUUGUCUUCUCUAUCUUAAAAAUAUAUAGGGAGGGGACGUAGAUUUCGGGUAAUUGGCUAGUCAACGUCGGCUAUGCCCAUACUGUGCCAUUGGGCGCCACUAUCCUUCCAUUUAUGGUAAUUGACUAUUCAACGUUUUUCUUUUCACAUAGUUGUGGGGUGUCUACUCUUCGAAUGGGGUUCUUCUAGUCCUAGAUAGGAUACUACCUUUUCUUUCGUUAGGAGAUAGGAUUUGUCAUACUUUUUCCCUUCAAAUGCUGAAAUUAUUAAAAAAUAAUAUAAAUUAAAUCUCAUUUAAUAACUUAAAUUUUUUGAUUGAAAUGAUUUUUUGAUAUUUUUAAAUUUUUUGAUUGAAAUGAUUUUUUGAUAUAAUAUCAAUACUUUGAUAACUAAAUGGUCACGAGUUUGAAUUUCACAAUCUCUAUUUAUUUGAUAAAAAUUAAACACAGGAUAAUGUAGACAUGUAUAAGUUUUAAGCUCAAAAGACUUUUAUAUGAGGGAAUGUGUUAGAAAAUAAUAUAAAUCAUAUUCUAGAACUUUAUUUAAUAAUUUAAACUUUUAGAUUGAGAUGGUUAUUUGAUAAAAUUGACAUGAUAAGGUACCAAUUAAGUCUGUGUCUUUAUGUGGACAAGAUUUCUAUUUUCUUGCCUAACUACAAAGUUUACUUGAAAUGGUAGUGAUUGAUUAUCCUUUCCUAGUUGUUUGAAAAGUAAUACGCACGUGCCAGCAAUGGCCCUGCAGGUAAUGGCGCCACAAAUGGUUUGGGAAAUUAAACUCCUUGCCCUCUCUAGGGCCUAGAUUUGUCUCCGCUGAUAGUGUGCUAAAGAAUUUAAAAGAAUUGGUAUUAGUAUUGUGAGUUUGAAGAAAAUUAGAGAAAUGAAAAAAAAAUGAGGGCGGCUAAAUUAUGGCUCUGUAAUUGGCUCUUCCAUAGACUGUAGUGGUCAGCGCCUUUGGAUUGCAAACAUCUAUGCUUCUAGAAAUCUUGAACUUCCAGUUUGUUAAGAGUUUUUAUCUAGUCACCCACGAUGGUCUGUAAUGAACUGAACAACCUAGUCAUUGAGAAGCCUAUAACACUUUAUGCAAGUCUCCAAGUGAACAAAUUUGCAGAUUAUGCUUGUCUCCUAGCAUUGAAAAUUCCCACGUUCGUAAAGCUUUUGAGGAUACUAUGAAGCUCAUCCCAUAUGAUUCCCAUCUAUCGAGUGCUGUAACAUCACAAUUCAAAGUUAAAACUUCAUGUUGAUUCAAAAAAAACUAAUGUUAAGAUAUCCAAAAGCCUUGAAAUGAUUUGAGAAUUUCAAGUGUUAGACAAAAAAUCCACCAUGAGUGAUUGGAUGUUCAAAUAUCUUAUGCGCUGCGACAAGGUCGGAUGUUAGAAAUAUGGGUGAACUCUCCCUCCAGUUUUUAUAAAACACUUUAAAAAAAAAAAAAAUCAUGAGGUUGCCUUCUUCACUCUCGCCUGUAAUAUGGGCUCUCAAAAUUGAAUGUGGAGCUGGAACCACUCGUCUCAUUAUCUUCAAGAUCUUCUAAAUCCUUAUUUAUUAAGUAAUGGUCACUUUUGAAACUUCCCUUUACAAAUCUUUAUUCACUAAGUUAUGACAGUUUUGUUCUUGGGCAGAACCUCCUCAACCAUAAUUAAUUCCCCUCUGCCAUAACCAUGUUUUGCGUUGUGAUCUCUAGCCAUAGUAGUUCAGCAACAUUAAAAAAAAGAAGGAACAAUAGGAUAUGAUACCAACUUGCACAAUUUAAACUAAUUAGACUGGGAAUAAAAAAAAAACAUGGGAAGAUAGAAUUCACCAAAAGGGCCAAACAAGAACCCUAGCUACAUUGUUAUUUUCAGAAUAUAUUCCUCCACCAAAAUCUACCUCAUAAAAAUAUUUUCAAUAACUUAAAUAGGUCUAUCUUCUCGAUCAAAAUGGAAAAAAUAAUCUUACAUGGAUAGAAAAAUUAAAAGCUAAAAUUUGAAAUAAAUAAAAACUAAAACUAAAAAAAAUAGCAAUUUAUAAAUCUAAUUUGAAAGUCUUGAUAACCUCAACGAGCCAAUAUUUCACUAUAGAAUAGAUCUGCAUAAUCUUUUAAUGAAAUUUAAAUAUGAUCUAAUAAUUAAAUAAAAUAUUAUGUUUAUUUUUAUCAGAAAUGUUAUUUGGAGUGACUAAAUCUUUUCUUGAGUUUGAACUUUUUAUUUAAUCCAUAAAUGUAUUUAUUAGGUAUUUUAUAUACUCUGAUUAUUAUUCUUGUACAUUAAUAUUAGGAAUAACCACAAUAAAUAUUGGUAUGGGAAAUUAAACUCCUUAGAAUUACCUUACCCAACUCUGAAGCCCUAGAUGUACAUGGCGUGGUAAAGGAUUUAAAAGAUAUGGUAUUAGUGUAUGGGAAAGAAAUUAAACUGAGAACUUGGCUCUGCCUCGGUGCUCAGUACCAUUCGAUCUCUAACAUCUAUGCAUGCUUCUAGAAAUUUUGAGCUCCUAGUCCGUUCAAAGUUUUUUUUAGCAGCCUUCCUUGAUGAUCUAUAUGAACCGAACAAUCAAGUCAUUGAGAAGCCUACAACACUUAGCCUAGUCCCUAACUUUGUGGCGCAUUGAGUGGAAGAAAUUUUCAACGUUUGACUCCAAGUAGUCACUCAUUUACGCUGUUUAGAAUCCAAGUUAAAUUUCCAUGUUGAUAAAAAAAAUAAAGUUAAGAUGGCAAAAUUCGCUGAAUCCGUACUUCAUGAAAUUUUAAUUAUUACAUAGGAAAAUACAUGUCCAAAGUUAAAAACACAUUAUAUUAUUCAAUGAACUGUAAUAUAAAUUGAUAGUUGAAAUAUAAGGUUGUGUUGCACUCAUGAAAUGAAAUGAUAGAAAGAUCUGAUUUAGUGUUAGGUUUUAAGCCAAUAGAAUUAGUUUGAAAGGAUAAUAUUAAUUGUUUUUUAAAAUGAUUUUUUGUUUGAAAAUAUAUUUAAAAAAUAUAUUAUUUUUAUAUUAGGACAUCAAAAUAAUAUAAAAAUAACAAAAAAAUUAAUUUAAAAUAAAAUAAAAUUAAUUUUUUAAAAAAUACUUUUAAAACCUAAACAAUUUUCUCAGUCUUGUCUUCUAACAUAAAAAUAUAUAUAUAUAUUAUGAAGCCAACAGUAUCAAUCACAUAAUCCAUUAUCUGUCAGAGUCUCGGUACUUGAGGGAUUUGAUCCCAUAUGACACAAGCCUGGUGACUUUACUAAUCAGCUCUUUUCUAGGUUUCUUGCGGGUUUUUUUUAUCAGUAAUCCUUCUCCAAUUUGUCGUCUCAAACUGGUUUUUAAUAUCUAUUUGAUGAUCAAAGAAAAGAAAAGGCCUAAUCAUCUAACAAGUAGUUUUAAUUCUAUUUCUGUAUAUUUCUACUUAAAAUAUAUUAAAAAAUAAUAUAAAUCAUAUAUUAAAACUUUAUUUAAUAAUUUAAGUUAUUAAGUUAAGAUGAUUCUUUAACAUGAUAUCAAAGUAUUGAUGACCAAGUGGUCAUGAGUUUAAAUCUCAUUAUCUCUAUUCAUUUGAUAAAAAAUAAGCACAAGGUAAUAUGGUCUUGUGGAAGUUUAAAGCCCAAAGAGCUUUCAAUUGAAAGGGUGUGUUAGAGAAUAAUAUAAAUCAUAUCUUGAGAUCUUAUCUAACAGUUUAAACUUGUGGGUUAAGAUGAUUUUUUGACAGAGUAAAAAUAUAAGCAUAGUAAUAAAUAUCUUCCAAGUUUAUUACUGCGGAUCAACUCAACAACCUACCAAUUAAAUAUUUUAUUUUAUUUUAAAUUGGUUUUUUUAUGAAAAUAAUAUAAAAUAUUUUAAAAAAAUCAUAAUUUAGAAUGACUUGCCAACCCUUCUACGAACCGAAUCUCGGAUUGGAUUGAUAUCUAGUUUGUAGUUUAUAACUAAGAACGUGAGAUGUAUCUCUUGCCAUCAAGGCAUUUAGAAUUUUCAUAUCUAUCGCUAUAAGGUGCUUUGUAGUUUCAUAAAACUUUGCUUAGUGAACCUACUUUUGUCGUUAUAAGUCAUCUAAGCAGACCCGUAUUCUACACGCACAAAUAUGCAUAAAAAUCUACAUGCUAUCCUGCUAUAUAUGGCCCAAACCAAACCUUAUUUUUCCAUCCAGAUUUUUUACCCUUAAUUAAAUAAAAAAACACCUUGCUUACCUUAUGUUUUCUCUUAACAUGGGAAACAAUGUACUAUCCAUCAUUCUGGCUAUGAUGCUGGCUGUAACCAUGCCGCAGUUGAUAGUGUCUCAAAAUUGUGGUUGUGCUCCCAACUUGUGCUGUAGUCAGUUUGGCUUCUGCGGCACCGGUGAUGCUUAUUGUGGCCAAGGAUGCCGGGAGGGACCUUGUACCUCAGCACCUAGUACCCCUAGCACGCCUAGUAACAAUGAUGUUACGGUGGCUGAUGUUGUUACACCGGAAUUCUUCAACGGUAUAAUCAAUCAAGCCGGGGGAGAUUGUGCCGGGAAGAGCUUCUACACACGAGAUGCGUUUCUCAGUGCCCUCAAUUCUUAUUCUCAGUUUGGCAAGAUUGGAUCAAAUGACGAUUCCAAACGUGAGAUUGCAGCAUUUUUUGCUCACGUCACGCAUGAGACCGGACGUAAGAUCUCUUAAAUCUCAUCUAUAUAUAUAUAUGUAUAUUGUCACACAUCACACCUUCAGUAAACAACAUAAUAAUAAUAAUAAUAAUCAUAUAGCAGUUAAAAACUUUAUUAACAUGCAUACAAACUUGGAAAUGCUAUAGUUGCUAGAGAAUGAUCGUUAUGAUAUGAACACAAGCAUAACCAUACAUCUCAAAGUUAACAAAUGGAUGUGUUUUGCUUGGUUUACAGACUUCUGCUACAUAGAAGAAAUAAACGGUGCCUCUCAGGACUACUGUGAUGAGACCAAUACACAGUAUCCAUGCAACCCGAACAAGAAAUACUUUGGCCGUGGACCUCUUCAACUAACAUGGAAUUACAAUUACGGGGCGGCUGGAGGGGCAAACAACUUUGAUGGACUAAACUCUCCUGAAACUGUGGCCAAUGAUCCUGUUGUGUCGUUCAAGACUGCCUUAUGGUUUUGGAUGACUAAUGUCCGCCCUGUGGUCACUCAAGGGUUUGGUGCGACGAUUAGAGCCAUUAAUGGUGCAGUUGAAUGUAAUGGUGGAAAUUCUGGUGCUGUUCAAGCUCGAAUUGGGUAUUACACAGAUUAUUGUAACCAGUUUGGCGUUGCACCUGGCGAUAAUCUAAGCUGUUAGGUUACAUUAUGCAUAUUAUAGUAUAGCAAUGAAAUGAAAUGGAAUCUACCUUCUGCCAUUUCUCGAAUGUAAGGUGGGAUACCCAGUGGUGUUCUGUAACUCUCGAUCGAGUUCGAUGUAUUUCUUGGAAUGGAUUUUAUAGAUAAAUAAAUGAAAUAAAGGCAUCACAUAAUUGAUUUUGCUUAUAAUGUAUUUGCUGGCUUAAUCGUUGUUAUGUUCAUUGCAAUUGCAAGUUUCUUGUUUAGGUUUUUUUUAUAUAUAUAUAAUCCUUAAUCACUAAUGAAAGUUUUGUUCUUGGGCAGAACCUCCUCAACCAUAAUUAAUUCCCCUAUGCCAUAAUCAUGUUUUGCGUUUUGAUCUCUAGCCAUAGUUGUUCAGAAACAUUAAAAAAAAAAAAAAAAAAAACAGGAACAAUAGGAUAUGAUACCAACUAGCACAAUUUAAACUAAUUAGACUGGCAAUAAAAAAAAACAUGGGAAGAUACAAUUCACCAAAAGGGCCAAACAAGAACCCUAGCUACAUUGUUAUUUUCAGAAUAAUAUUCUUCCACCGAAAUCUACCUCAUAAAAAUAUUUGCAAUAACUUAAAUAGUUCUAUCUUUAACCUCAAUCAAAAUGAAAAAAAUAAUCCUACAUAGACAGAAAAAUAAAAGGCUAAAAUUCAAAAUAAAUAAAAAUUAAAACUAAAAAAAUAACAUUUUUAAAAUUUAAUUUGAAAAUCUUUCUAACCUCAACAGAUGACAACGAGACGAUAUUCCACUAUAGAAUAUGCCUGCAGAAUCUUUUAAUGAAAUUUAAACAUGAUUUAAUAAUUAAAUAAAAAAUUAUGUUUAUUUUCUUGAAACAUAUUGUUUGGAGGGACUAAACUUUUUCUUAAAUUUGGAUUUUUUAUUCGAUCCAUAUAUAUAUAUCUAUUAGAUUUUUUAUAUACUCUAGUUACAACAAAUUUAUAUCUGAUUAUGAUUAUUAUUCUUGUAGAUUAAUAUUAGCAAUAACGAACAAUAUUGGUAUGGGAAAUUAAAUUCCUUAUAAUUACCUUACCCAACUCUCAAGCCCUAGAUGUACAUAGUGUGGUAAAGGAUUUAAAAGAUAUGGUAUUAGUGUAUGGGAAAGAAAUUAAAAUAAAUUGAGAACUUGGCUCUGCCUCGGUGCUCAGUACCAUUUGAUUUCUAACAUCUAUGCUUCUAGAAAUUUUGAACUCAUAGUUUGUCCAAAGUUUUUUUUAGCAGCCUUCGUUAAUGAUCUAUAUGAAACGAACAAUCAAGUCAUUGAGAAGCCUACAACACUUAUGGCACGUUGAGUGGAAGAAAUUCUCAAAGCCUACAACACUUAUGGCACGUUGAGUGGAAGAAAUUCUCAAAGCCUACAACACUUAUGAAAUUUUAAUUAUUACAUAGGAAAACCCACGCCCAAAGUUUAAAACACGUUAUUCAAUGAACUGUAAUAUAAAUGGAUAUUUGCAAACAACAUUCUCUCUAUUAGUUUCUAACAUACCAAAGAAAAUUUACGAAGCCAACAUUAUCGAUCGCAUAAUCCAUUAUCUGUAGGGGUCUCGAUACUAGAGGGAUUUGAUCCCAAAUCACACAAGCCUAGUAACUUUACUAAUCAGCUCUCUUUUUAGGUUUCUUCCGAGUUUUUUAUUAGUAAUUCUUCUCCAAUUUGUCGUCUCAAGCUGGUUUUUACUGUCUAUUUGCUAAUGAAGUCAAAGAAAAGAACAUGCAAUCCCCCCUAUUUAUAGGUUAUGGAAGAAGGUAAUAUUUUCUUCACCCGGGAAAAUUUUCAAUCCUUAAUUCAGAUGGAAAUGAUCACAACCGUUGACUUAAAAUAAGCAUGAACUGUAUAAAUUUACAGUUAGUGGCUGCUUGAGCUGGCCUCUUUAGGUUGGCACCGGACCUCUAUGGUGUUAAUCAACCUAAACAGACCAUACCAGGGUGUAAAAGGAUGUCAGGUGAUCAUUUACAUGCAAGUUUUGUGAAGGUUAGAUGCAUUAAAUGCACCUAUGAAGUUGUUUUCUAAGCUAUCAUUUCAGUGAAAAUUAAAGAAGAAGAUGAACAAUAACCAAAACAGCGCCAUUUUGGUAACAUUCACUUUAGCCAUUUGAUUUCUAAUUUGUCUCAAUUACACCCUUGAUUGACUUCAAAUUUUUAAUUUUAUGUAAUCUCAUCCCUAGAAAAACCUCAAUGUCAGCCUCGGAUAUCGCAAUGACGACGAUUAAAAAUAAUCUAAGAAAAGAAAAGAUAUCUAACAUCUUAAUCUUUGAAAAAAAAGGUCUAGUUUAAGGAGUCACCACCUAGUAUUACAAUCAGUACCAACCCUAAUUGAUCAACACAAAUUAUAUGGUACGGGACUGGUUACAUGAAAUGAAAUAUACUAUCACCCCUUAAGCGUCUUACUUAAAGCAAGCUACAUUGUUGGUUUUGUCUUAAAUUGCUAAGAGUUUGUCUUUGUUCCAUUUUUAAGGUCAUCCUAUAAUAUUCUCAACUCUGACAUCAAUAAUUAUUCACUGAUGAAUAUUUUCAACUCUAGCGUUGGUAAAUAUUGCGCAAUUCACAAAUUACAGUAUUUCUGACUAUAACGUCAGUGAAUAAGUCUGUAAAUUUCAAAUUCUAAAAAAGCAAGAAACAAAUUUUUUAUUUUUUUCUGGUCGGAUCUAGGUUGGUCGUACAGGCUGGGCUUGAUCCAGCUAGCCCGAGCUUGGUCACUGAAAUGCAACAAGCAUAUCUAAAUUAUAAUUCAUGUAUGGGUGUAUAGCAAGAAUGUAAUUAAAAUGGCAACGGUGAAGGGCCAAGAAUAAAAUUAAAAAUCAAAAAAAUAAAAAUCAAAUUUAAAGUAUCAAUAACUAAAAUGACAAUAUUGAAAUUCUAAAUGGCUAGUGCGAUUUUUGAGAGGAAAAGAGAGAGAAAAGAGUGGGGAAAAAGCCUCACCAACAACAAUUCAUCAUACCACCAUCACCACGUGCCACCCCACCAAAAAUAAUAAGCUGCAAAGAUUUCAACAACAUAAUGAAAGAGCUUUUUAACCACUGUGACGCAUUGUGUGUUCUGACAAAGAUUGUGGGCGCCUCCCACACGUUGGAGCAUAAGUUGUAUAAAUCAUCAACUUUUCUAUUUUAAUAUUAUUUUAUUUUUAUUAAAAGAUUAAAUUACCAUCAACCAAUUUAAUAAUAACAAAUAAAAAAACAUAGUAAAAAAACAUAAAAGUUCCUAUAUGCAAGCUUUAGAAAUUUUGCAAGUCUUUUUAUUGUUCCUAAAAUAGUGAAUUGAUGUGAAAGCCCUUCAAAGUUAGUUUCAAUAAUUUUGCUUUGAAGAGUAAAUUAAUAAUUUCAUUUUUAUUAUUAAUAAUUUCAUUUUUAUUAAAAAAAUAAAAAAGACAACCGCUCAAUAUAAUAAUUAAUAAUAAAUCAUGUACGAAAAGAAAAAACAAUCCCCAAUGUAAAAGCCAUUGGUUUUUUUGAGAAGGGUAAAUAGAUAACUAUACUGUAGCUUGGUAAAAUAUUUCUAUGCCAUAGUAUUUUCACCUUUUUGUUUUAGCUUUAUCAUUUUUUUUGUUAUAUUGCUAGACAUCUUUUAACCGCAGCUAAUAGUAUUCACAGCAACAAAUAUAACUAAAAGCAACCAAGUAAUCACUACAUAGAUCCUUAAUGUGUUAUUAAAUAUUAUAAGAGAUUUAAAUAAAAUAUAUAUGUGUAUAUAUAUAUAUAUAUAAAAAAAAGGUUCAUACACAAAAUUUAUAUGGUUUAAGGGCCACACUUUCUAAAAAAAUUAAUUUUUUUCUUCAAAUUAAAUAUUACUAUUUGAGAGUAAUUGAGUUUAUCUACUGAAUUUAUCAUCCAAUCUGUUUGCAACGCGAAGCCCCAUGUAUCUCAAGCCCGUCAUACUAUAUUCCAAAUGAAGGCCCAAAAACGAUGGGCCAUUAUGACGACAGCUGUUCAGCACUUCAUUUAGGCCCCCGUCUUUCAAAUGAAAUGCAAUUACAAUUUCAGGAUGUGUUAGCAACAAUUCCACGACGUCGCAUCCAAUGUUUCUCAGAGGCAUGAAAGCACAAGGCUAAGCUUCUCUCUUCAAGUGGAAGUCUAGCAUGUUGAAGAUGAAUGUGAGGUGGAAUCCCAAGGCUCAUUGGACUCUGGAAUCAGACAAGGGAAUCUUCGUUGUUUAACAUCUUCAAAUUCUGUUGUUGAGGCAGAGGUGCAGGGAACGUUGAAAACUGGGCAGGCAUUGGGCUUUGGAAUGUUGAGGACUUGUAACAUCCAUUAGAGGCCAGGUGGACAGAGAGCUGGAAGAUUGGAAUGACGACCAAUAAUGCCAUUUUGCAGCUCGACAGUGGAUAUGUAUUACCUUCUUUCUUAAUGAAGAUCUUAUUCUGGAAUAGUUGUGGAUUGGGUAUGUCUGUUAAGGGGGUAUCGAUUAGGAAUACUGUUCUGCAUAAUGACAUUGAGGCGUGUUUCCUGCCAGGAACUAAGAGGGCAAUGUGCUGUGACAAUUUUGUUCAUGCAUUAUAGAAUAACUUAUCAGUCAAAUGGUUUACACUUAAUUCAGUUGAUUAUAUUAGGGUGGAGGUAUUUUGGCUACUUGGGAUGAAAGUAAUUUCAUGGUUCAUUUAGCCGGAUAUCAAACUAGAAUUGACAUAAAAAUUAUGGUUAAGAUAUAAGGGUGUGUUUUGCCAAACACACCCUUAGUAAAUAUGGACUAGGCAGGUUGGAUUUGAAGCCCAAACCUGGCCAACAUUUUCUUUUUUUUUUAUUGGGUAAGAUCUAGCCUAACCAUCCGAGUUGGGCUCGACCCAGCUGGUCAACAUGGUUAUUGGCCUAAGCCAGUAACCUAGUUUGUGCAAUAUUUAAUUUUUUAUAGGCAGAAUAACAAAAAGAAAAAUGGCUUUAAAAAUUUCUUCUUCAAAUUCAAUUUUUUACCUGGUUUACAAUCCAUGUGAAUUAAAAUGAGAGCUGAGGAAGAAAGAAGACUUACCUAGCUUGCAAAAGCAUUGCCCGAGAUUGCAAGCGCUGGUCGAAGCUCUUGUCUUCAAGUUUUCUCCUAUUCCUUGUUCAUUUUAUUUUUUUUCAGCUUCUCUCGUUAUAUCUCUCUUGUCUCUCUCUCUCUUUUUCUUUUUUUUUUUUGUCUUUCCUUCUCUCUUUUUUUCUCCACUACCCACUCUCCUUUUUCUUUCUUUUUUUGUUACACCAUGGUGUGGCUUUUCACUAGCCUUUUAUAAGGCCAGAACAAAUGGUUGUUCCCCAGUACGUCUCUUUUUUCCUGGGAGGAGGAUAAGUCUUAGGGUGUUAGUCUUUUGCUGGGACUUGGAUGCGAGAUUCGAUCCUUAUCAUCCUAGGAUUGUGACCUUCAUGAAGAUAGGGAUUAAUCCUUGUGUUUUGGUAGACCUAGGAUGUUGGCAUUUCAAUUUAUUUCCCUUCUUUGCAAGCGAAUUUGUAGUGUUAGAGGAAGAAGAAGAAGAAUUGUGCAUGGUUGAAACGGCGUCGUUUUGGAUUGGGAAUGAACAUUUUCAAUUUGAUCCUUAAAGUUUUGAAAUUUCCUAAUAUGGCCCCUAAAGUUCAACACCUUUUACAAAAUGGUCCCUAAUUUCUAAUUUCUUGCAAUUUUGACCCAAAUCAACCCUGAAUUAUAAUAUUUCUUCAAUUAGGCCUUGACUCCAUUAAUUAAACUAGCUCUAAGCUUAAUUAAGUCCCCAAAUUUAUCAAUUCUAUGAUUAAGCUCGUAAUUUCAUUAAUUAAAUUAAUUUAAAGUUUAAUUAAGUCUCCAAACUUAUCAAUUUUUCCAAAUUCUAGCAAAGUCAAACCCUAAAUUUAUAAUUUCACCCUGACUAGAUCCUCAAGACUUUCAAUUUGUAUUGUCUUCACCCAAAUCUCAAUUUUUUCUCCAUUCAUUUCAUUUUUUCGAUGAAUUUAUGUUGUCAAAAAUUAAGUUACGACAACUGUAUCCAAUAAAUUAAAAGUCAUCAUGCCUGAUAUUAGUAGUGUUAAUCAAACAACUUUUUUCAUCUCUAGUAGGCAAAUUUUAGAUGGUUUCGUGAUGGCUAAUAAAAGUGUACAUAGUAUCAAGAAAAGUGGGAAACAUAGUUUUGUUAUGAAAGUGGACUUCCAUAAGACUUUUAAUUCUGUUGUUUAAGAGUACCUAGAGGAAGUGAUGUUAUAUGUGAGUUUUUGAAGGAGGCGGAUUUCUCUAAUACAUAAAUGCAUUACGGGAUCUAAAUUAGCUAUUCUUAUUAAAGGUUCACCAAUCAUGAAGUUUAGAGUAGAACGAGAACUACGUCAAGGCAAGAAUAACUAUCGCCUUUUUUUUUUUACAUAGAUGUGGAAGGGUUAUUAGUUAUGUUUAUGAGAGCUUCCACUUCCGGAUUAUUUAAAGGAAUCCAUUGUGAAAAUGAGAUAUAUAUGAGUCAUUUGAAAUAUACAAAUGAUACCUUAUUAUUUAUUCCUAAUUAUUUCACUUUGAUAACUAAUGCUAAAAGGAUUUUGAGGUGGUUUGAAUUGACUUUAGGUCUAAAAUUUAACUUUCAUAAAAGUUCACUAGUUGACAUCAACCUAGAUGAUGAAUUUAUGAUAGGAAUAACAAAUGUGAUAUAUUGCAAAUGGGACACACUACUUGUCCGAUACUUAAGCCAGAUCUUUGGGGGCAAACCCGAAAAGACUCUUCACUUGGAAGCCUAUCAUAAAUAGCAUCCAGACAAGACUGGUUCAUGAAAAGAAUGUUUAUUGAGCAUGACAAGAAGUGUCUAAUUAAAUUUGUGUUGUCCUCCCUUUCCUUGUAUGUACAUGUCCAUCUUUCUUAUGCCAAAGGGAGUUGUUAGGGUUAUUAAUUUGAUCAAGAGGAGGUUCUUGUGUAGUGGGGAUUUUGGUGCAAGGAAAAUAUAUAAAGUUGCUUUGUAGGUGGUUGUAAGGGGGAAAAUAGAGGGGGUUUGGGCAUUGGCUCAUUGGAAGGCAAGAACAAGGCAUUGCUAUUUAAAUGACUCUUGAGGCUAGGGGAAAGCAAUUUGAGAGGUUGGUAAGAGCAUAUCUACAAAAGAUAUCAGGCUACUAUUAUUAAUGGCCUCUCACUUCUUAAAUAAUCUUUUUCUGAAACAUGGCACUCUAUCUAUUUUGUUAUCAGCACGGACUCUAAAAUAGAAGUGACUUUGAAGAACAAUUGAUGGUUUUAGAUUGGCAAUGAAAGCAACAUUCACUUCUAAACAGACAAGCGGCUAGCUGGUAGGCUGUUAAAAGAUUUUUAUUUGUGCCUUUUCUCCUUUAUCACAACACCUUCUCCUUGCUUGUAGAUAUGGGGGCAAUGCUGCGACUUGGUGGAAAUGGAGACUUCACUAAAAAGAUGCUUGUGGACAUUAGAAAAAGAGAAAUUAAGUAACAUGAAUCAAAUGUUCGUAAGGGUAAUAUUGCAGUCGAUUAGAGGUGAUAAAAAAAUAUGGGCAAGAGACAUAAUCGAGGCCUAUAUGUCAAUUCUGACAGUGAUUUAAUAGAUAACAUUCUAUUUCUAGGAAACUUCAUAUUCACUUCACUUUUAUGGAAAUGAUCUACCCACCAAAUGUAGAAAUGUUUAUAUGGAUAUUGUUCCAAAGCAUAAUAUGUACAAGAGCCUUUCUACCACACUGUCAUUUAGGACAACCCAGUCAAGCUAUAUAUCCCUUUUAUGAACAUGAAAAAGAGAAUGCUCCUCAUCUUUUCCUUCAUUGCUACCACAUGUGGAGAUUAUGACAAUGAUUUUUGAGUUGGUCUGAUGCCUCUGGUGUAUGCCAAAUACAAUAGAUCAAGUGAUCUGGCAAUGGAGCAACAUGGUCGAAGGUAAGUUCUAGUAAAAUGCAUUUACAAUGUUAUCAUAUGGAAUUUUGUAGGGGUAUUUAGACUGCAAGAAACAAGCUGAUCUUCAAAGAUAAAAAGCUUGAUUGGAAUACAUUGUUUCAACUCAUACUCUAUUGACUUACACUUUGGUUAAAGGUCUGGAAUAAUAAUUUUUCAUACACAAAAAAUGAUUUGAUUAGAGAUCUUGGAGGCAUUUUAACAUGUUCUAAUAAGUGAUGAGUAAUUGGUUGUAGGAGCUUGUUAUUAGCAUCUCCUUUGUAACUUCCUUUUAUGUUUUUAUCUACGAUUUCAUGUUCAUCAUAGUCUUAAUGGUAUACUGGUUUUAUCAAUAAAUAACUCGAUUGAGUUGGUGUAGUUCCUUUCCCUUUGGCUAUAGGUUUUUAAGUUUCUUUAGUUUGGUAAUUCAUCAAACGCAAAUUAAGCUCUUACAAAUAGGAAAUGUAUGGUUGGAAAAAAGUUAGGAAGUGAUAAUUAUCAGCACAUACCAAGCCAAAUAAGACUAUCUGAUGUAACUUGAACAGUUUAGUUUAAUUAGUCAGAAUUUGUUCUCUAAAUAUUACCAUUUCAAGUUUCACAAAUUUAAUGGUCACUAGAUACUUAUAUAAUCGUUAACUUCAGAGUCUCAAAGGAUUAAUCGAGGUGCGCUCGAACACUCACAAUUAAAAAAAAAAAAAAAAAGAUUAUCUGAUGUAGAAAUAGACACAUGCUACUAAAUAGGAUUGUGUCUGAUGUAGUAAUAAAGUUUCUACCUUUUAUGGUAUAUAAAUGUCUGACCACUUCAAAAACAUGUCACGUAAGGACAUUAAUGUCAUUAUCCUAGAUAUUUUUGCUAAACUUUAUAGACUAAAUUAUAAUCAACACAUAUAUAUUUUACACGUAAAAUUAUAGACCUCGUCCACCUUGUGCCUCUAUAAAUAGCUUAACAUCGACCUUAUCACCACACAUCACAAGAAAUUCCUUUCUCUCUUUGCAUAACAAUAUCAAAACUCCCUUCAGGAGUAGCGAAAAUGAGAAGCAAUAUUCUACUUACCAUUAUCUUAGCCAUAGUUCUUGCAGGAGCCCUGCACAAGAAUGUGGUAGAGGCUCAGAAUUGUGGCUGUGCUGCAAACCUUUGUUGCAGUCAAUAUGGCUACUGUGGCACUGGCAAUGCCUAUUGUGGUCAGGGAUGUAAACAAGGGCCCUGUACUUCAUCACCUACGCCUACUACCCCUAGUGGGAGUGGUUCUGUUGCUGAUAUUGUUACGCCUGCUUUCUUCAAUGGUAUAAUCAACCAAGCUGCUGCAAGCUGUGCUGGGAAGAAUUUCUAUACAAGAAAUGCAUUUCUCAGUGCUGUCAAUUCAUAUUCUCAAUUUGGUAAACUUGGUUCAGCUGAAGCUUCUAAGCGUGAGAUUGCAGCCUUCUUCGCUCAUGUUACUCAUGAGACUGGACGUAAGUUCCUCUUCCAUCCCUAAUAACAUUUCUCGCAGCAUUUGAAUAGCAAGCAUGAUAGCCAACAGUAUUCUGUCUGUCUAUCUAUCUUUUCCACAAAUACAUUUGUCCGCAUAUGGAUUUUGUCAACAAAGUGAACUGUCUAUUAAGCUCCUCGUGUGUAAACUGACAAGAGAAAAUGUCUUAUUUUGCAGACUUCUGCUAUACAGAAGAGAUAAAUGGUGCUUCCCGUGAUUACUGUGAUGAAAACAACAGGCAAUACCCAUGUGUUGCAGGCAAGAAAUACUAUGGCCGCGGACCAAUCCAACUAUCAUGGAACUACAACUAUGGGCCAGCCGGAAGGAGCAACAGCUUUGAUGGAUUGAACAAUCCUGACAUUGUAGCUAGGGAUGCUGUUGUGUCAUUUAAGACGGCCUUAUGGUUUUGGAUGAACAGUGUUCGUCCUGUUGUAAGCCAAGGUUUUGGAGCAACUAUUCGAGCCAUUAAUGGCAUGGAAUGCAAUGGUGGAAACACAGGUGCUGUUCAGGCUCGUGUUAAAUAUUAUAGAGAUUAUUGCAGUCAACUCGGCGUUUCUACUGAGAAUAACCUCACUUGCUAAGUUCUUAAAUAACCUGAGUUGUUAUGCCAAGUUAUGGCUAAUCAUAUGAAAAUAAGAUGUACUGCUAUGAAAU